AGACGUGUAGCUCAGUUGGUAGAGCGCCUGACUUUUAAUCAGGAGUUCGCAGGUUCGAGCCCGGUCACGUCAA
This 73-nucleotide transfer RNA is filed under the name Enterococcus avium. RNAcentral's name for it is "tRNA-Lys". It matches the Rfam family "tRNA". Rfam says of the family: Transfer RNA (tRNA) molecules are approximately 80 nucleotides in length. Their secondary structure includes four short double-helical elements and three loops (D, anti-codon, and T loops). The record is from RNAcentral. Lineage: Bacteria; Bacillati; Bacillota; Bacilli; Lactobacillales; Enterococcaceae.